UGCAUGUCUAAGUAUAAGCAAUUAUACAGCGAAACUGCGAAUGGCUCAUUAUAUAAGUUAUCGUUUAUUUGAUAGUACCUUACUACUUGGAUAACCGUGGUAAUUCUAGAGCUAAUACAUGCUAAAAAUCCCGACUCCGGAAGGGAUGUAUUUAUUAGAUUAAAAACCAAUGCCCUCUGGGCUCCUUGGUGAUUCAUAAUAACUUUUCGAAUCGCAUGGCCUUGCGCCGGCGAUGGUUCAUUCAAAUUUCUUCCCUAUCAACUUUCGAUGUUUGGGUAUUGGCCAAACAUGGUCGCAACGGGUAACGGAGGGUUAGGGCUCGACCCCGGAGAAGGAGCCUGAGAAACGGCUACUACAUCCAAGGAAGGCAGCAGGCGCGCAAAUUACCCAAUCCCGAUUCGGGGAGGUAGUGACAAUAAAUACUGAUACAGGGCUCUUUUGGGUCUUGUAAUUGGAAUGAGUACAAUUUAAAUCCCUUAACGAGGAACAAUUGGAGGGCAAGUCUGGUGCCAGCAGCCGCGGUAAUUCCAGCUCCAAUAGCGUAUAUUAAAGUUGUUGUGGUUAAAAAGCUCGUAGUUGAACCUUGGGCCUGGCUGGCCGGUCCGCCUCACCGCGUGCACUGGUCCGGCCGGGCCUUUCCCUCUGUGGAACCCCAUGCCCUUCACUGGGUGUGGCGGGGAAACAGGACUUUUACUUUGAAAAAAUUAGAGUGCUCCAGGCAGGCCUAUGCUCGAAUACAUUAGCAUGGAAUAAUGAAAUAGGACGUGUGGUUCUAUUUUGUUGGUUUCUAGGACCGCCGUAAUGAUUAAUAGGGACAGUCGGGGGCAUCAGUAUUCAAUUGUCAGAGGUGAAAUUCUUGGAUUUAUUGAAGACUAACUACUGCGAAAGCAUUUGCCAAGGAUGUUUUCAUUAAUCAGGAACGAAAGUUAGGGGAUCGAAGACGAUCAGAUACCGUCGUAGUCUUAACCAUAAACUAUGCCGACUAGGGAUCGGACGAUGUUAUUUUUUGACGCGUUCGGCACCUUACGAGAAAUCAAAGUGCUUGGGCUCCAGGGGGA
RNAcentral lists this ribosomal RNA (1058 nucleotides) under Akanthomyces dipterigenus. RNAcentral describes it as "SSU rRNA". It matches the Rfam family "Eukaryotic small subunit ribosomal RNA", at positions 52 to 1122 of the family's 1831-position model. The record is from RNAcentral. Lineage: Eukaryota; Fungi; Ascomycota; Sordariomycetes; Hypocreales; Cordycipitaceae.